Molecule: long non-coding RNA, 255 nt
Filed under: Trifolium pratense (red clover)
Lineage: Eukaryota; Viridiplantae; Streptophyta; Magnoliopsida; Fabales; Fabaceae
Description: long non-coding RNA (TPRA_LNC013978)
Source: RNAcentral
AGCUCUUGUGAUCGUAGUGAUUCCAUUGUAGACUUUUUGUUAGUUGACACUUAUAAUAUUUCUACUGACAACUCUGACUUGUAUAUAUGAUUUUUUUUCUAGCUAGGUUAUAUUUCCUCACUUAUAUAUACACUAAUCUUUCUUGUAUGCAAAGUUUUAUGGAUAUCUUAAUUAGAUCUAUUUGAUCAAUCAAUUAGUACCGUUGAUUAAUAACUUUAAAAUUUAAAUGGAUGGUUUGGAUAUUAAUAAUAUAUU